GAAUAUUGGACAAUGGGCGCAAGCCUGAUCCAGCCAUGCCGCGUGAGUGAUGAAGGCCUUAGGGUUGUAAAGCUCUUUCAGUGGGGAAGAUAAUGACGGUACCCACAGAAGAAGCCCCGGCUAACUUCGUGCCAACAGCCGCGGUAAUACGAAAGGGGCUAGCGUUGUUCGGAUGUACUGGGCGUAAAGCGCACGUAGGCGGUUUGUUAAGUCAGAGGUGAAAUCCCGGAGCUCAACUCCGGAACUGCCUUUGAUACUGGCAAGCUAGAGUCCGGAAGAGGUAAGUGGAACUCCUAGUGUAGAGGUGGAAUUCGUAGAUAUUAGGAAGAACACCAGUGGCGAAGGCGGCUUACUGGUCCGGAACUGACGCUGAGGUGCGAAAGCGUGGGGAGCAAACAGG
Molecule: ribosomal RNA, 400 nt
Filed under: uncultured bacterium
Lineage: Bacteria
Description: bacterial SSU rRNA
Rfam family: Bacterial small subunit ribosomal RNA
Source: RNAcentral